GAGAUCCGAAGACUGGAAUCAUCCGGAACGAAAGGUCGACACGACGAUUGUACAUUUUGGUGUCGUGAAACAUCUUCCGUGAAUAGCGAAAAAUGCCACAGGCAGCCCACGAAACGAAAAACAUCCUAACCACGUACUUUAUACUCAUCCUCCUGCUGAUUUGCCUCUGGUUGUUGUACUCUGGAUUGUUUUAACUUUAGAAUACAUUCCUCGCCAUGGAGUGAAAAAGCACGAAGGGAACACAUCGUUCGUCGACGACCGGAUAUCCUGGAUCGAUCCACGAUCACUCGGGAUUUUGCCAGAUGCCGGGUUUCUCUUCGCCUAAUCAACGACUGCUUUCCCUCCUUGUUACAUUCGUGUAAAACCGAUUCAAAAUGAACGAGACAAGCGUAAUUCACUUAAGCUCUUUCAACGUUCUCCACGAGUUUCACCUUCGUUCACCCGUUUACCCCACGAUUUUAUGUAUUUUACGACCACGAUAAUUGGACGUCGAAGAAAUCAGUCCUAUUUAUAAUAAAACGAACAACCAAAAUAACGUAGUUUCAUGAGAAACAGGGGCGUGACUGUGCAGCACGAUGAUCAAAGGGACCCGUAUACUUCUCGUAAAGUUGAAAAAUUACAGCGCGCUGGGAAGGCUGCAUCGGGCUGUU
Molecule: long non-coding RNA, 650 nt
Organism: Eufriesea mexicana
Lineage: Eukaryota; Metazoa; Arthropoda; Insecta; Hymenoptera; Apidae
Exons: 3
Source: RefSeq, a predicted model, not a curated record